UACGUAGGGUGCGAGCGUUAAUCGGAAUUACUGGGCGUAAAGGGUGCGCAGGCGGCCGAGCAAGUCGAGUGUGAAAGCCCCGGGCUUAACUUGGGAAUUGCGCUCGAAACUACUUGGCUGGAGUGUGGCAGAGGAAGGUGGAAUUCCAGGUGUAGCGGUGAAAUGCGUAGAUAUUCGGAAGAACACCAGUGGCGAAGGCGACUCACUGGCCCGUUACUGACGCUGAGGCGCGAAAGCGUGGGGAGCAAACAGG
Molecule: ribosomal RNA, 253 nt
Filed under: uncultured bacterium
Lineage: Bacteria
Description: partial 16S ribosomal RNA
Rfam family: Bacterial small subunit ribosomal RNA
Source: RNAcentral